This 434-nucleotide ribosomal RNA is filed under the name uncultured bacterium. RNAcentral describes it as "partial 16S ribosomal RNA". It matches the Rfam family "Bacterial small subunit ribosomal RNA", at positions 29 to 507 of the family's 1533-position model. The record is from RNAcentral.
AGCGAACGCUGGCGGCAGGCCUAACACAUGCAAGUCGAACGAACCUUUCGGGGUUAGUGGCGGACGGGUGAGUAACACGUGGGAACGUGCCUUUAGGUUCGGAAUAACUCAGGGAAACUUGUGCUAAUACCGAAUGUGCCCUUCGGGGGAAAGAUUAAUCGCCUUUAGAGCGGCCCGCGUCUGAUUAGCUAGUUGGUUGAGGUAAUGGCUCACCAAGGCGACGAUCAGUAGCUGGUCUGAGAGGAUGAUCAGCCACAUUGGGGCUGAGACACGGCCCAAACUCCUACGGGAGGCAGCAGUGGGGAAUCUUGCGCAAUGGGCGAAAGCCUGACGCAGCCAUGCUGCGUGAAUGAUGAAGGUCUUAGGAUUGUAAAAUUCUUUCACCGGGGACGAUAAUGACGGUACCCGGAGAAGAAGCCCCGGCUAACUUCGUG